UUACCUUCCACAAAUAUCAUUGUUCAUAAUGCCACAAUAUAAAUUACGAAGAUGAAGUUGUGAGGUAACUAUCAUUUGAAUUGCACGGUGUAUGGAUCAAAAUCUACCUUUAGAAUAUAAGUCAAAAUGAUAUGAGUAAAACAUCUCCAGGUCGUCAUAGGUCGAAGUGUUCUAAUAACCAAUGAAAGUUGUGGUCGAGGAGUCAGCAAAGAUCGAAGCCCCUGGAGUCGUCAAUAAUCGAUAACAGAGUUAUAAUGACUAGCUUUAAGAUAGGACCUGAAGGAGAAUAUUCUAGUGGAUAUUCUCU
This 307-nucleotide long non-coding RNA is filed under the name Nicotiana tabacum (common tobacco). RNAcentral's name for it is "long non-coding RNA (NTAB_LNC007126)". The record is from RNAcentral. Lineage: Eukaryota; Viridiplantae; Streptophyta; Magnoliopsida; Solanales; Solanaceae.